RNAcentral lists this non-coding RNA (102 nucleotides) under Salinicoccus halodurans. Its description in RNAcentral is "SAM-I sequence". It matches the Rfam family "SAM riboswitch aptamer (S box leader)". From Rfam's summary of the family: The SAM riboswitch is found upstream of a number of genes which code for proteins involved in methionine or cysteine biosynthesis in Gram-positive bacteria. The SAM riboswitch acts at the level of transcription termination control. The record is from RNAcentral. Lineage: Bacteria; Bacillati; Bacillota; Bacilli; Caryophanales; Staphylococcaceae.
UUCUUAUCAAGAGAAGCAGAGGGACUGGCCCGAUGAAGCUUCGGCAACAACUCACCCGAGUGAUGUGCCAAAUCCAGCAGGCGGAAGCCUGAAAGAUGAGAA